Molecule: ribosomal RNA, 493 nt
Filed under: uncultured bacterium
Lineage: Bacteria
Description: bacterial SSU rRNA
Rfam family: Bacterial small subunit ribosomal RNA
Source: RNAcentral
CCUGGCUCAGAUUGAACGCUGGCGGCAUGCUUACACAUGCAAGUCGAACGGCAGCACGGACUUCGGUCUGGUGGCGAGUGGCGAACGGGUGAGUAAUGUAUCGGAACGUACCUUUCAGUGGGGGAUAACGUAGCGAAAGUUACGCUAAUACCGCAUAUUCUGUGAGCAGGAAAGCAGGGGAUCGCAAGACCUUGCGCUGAUUGAGCGGCCGAUAUCAGAUUAGCUAGUUGGUGAGGUAAAGGCUCACCAAGGCGACGAUCUGUAGCGGGUCUGAGAGGAUGAUCCGCCACACUGGAACUGAGACACGGUCCAGACUCCUACGGGAGGCAGCAGUGGGGAAUUUUGGACAAUGGGGGCAACCCUGAUCCAGCCAUGCCGCGUGAGUGAAGAAGGCCUUCGGGUUGUAAAGCUCUUUCGGCCGGGAAGAAAUCGCAUGGGCUAAUACCCUGUGCGGAUGACGGUACCGGCAUAAGAAGCACCGGCUAACUACGUG